UACGAAGGGGGCUAGCGUUGUUCAGAAUUACUGGGCGUAAAGGGCGCGUAGGCGGCGUGUCAAGUCUGUCGUGAAAGCCCCGGGCUCAACCUGGGAAUGGCGAUGGAUACUGGCUCGCUAGAGUGCGGUAGAGGAGAGUGGAAUUCCCGGUGUAGCAGUGAAAUGCGUAGAGAUCGGGAGGAACAUCAGUUGCGAAGGCGGCUCUCUGGACCAGCACUGACACUGAGGCACGAAAGCGUGGGGAGCAAACAGG
Molecule: ribosomal RNA, 253 nt
Filed under: uncultured bacterium
Lineage: Bacteria
Description: partial 16S ribosomal RNA
Rfam family: Bacterial small subunit ribosomal RNA
Source: RNAcentral